This 468-nucleotide ribosomal RNA is filed under the name uncultured bacterium. RNAcentral describes it as "partial 16S ribosomal RNA". It matches the Rfam family "Bacterial small subunit ribosomal RNA", at positions 28 to 507 of the family's 1533-position model. The record is from RNAcentral.
GACGAACGCUGGCGGCGUGCUUAACACAUGCAAGUCGAACGGAAAGGCCCUGCUUUUGCGGGGUGCUCGAGUGGCGAACGGGUGAGUAACACGUGAGUAACCUGCCCUUGACUUUGGGAUAACUUCAGGAAACUGGGGCUAAUACCGGAUAGGAGCUCCUGCUGCAUGGGGGGGGUUGGAAAGUUUCGGCGGUUGGGGAUGGACUCGCGGCUUAUCAGCUUGUUGGUGGGGUAGUGGCUUACCAAGGCUUUGACGGGUAGCCGGCCUGAGAGGGUGACCGGCCACACUGGGACUGAGAUACGGCCCAGACUCCUACGGGAGGCAGCAGUGGGGAAUAUUGCACAAUGGGCGGAAGCCUGAUGCAGCGACGCCGCGUGCGGGAUGACGGCCUUCGGGUUGUAAACCGCUUUCGCCUGUGACGAAGCGUUAGUGACGGUAAUGGGUAAAGAAGCACCGGCUAACUACGUG